UAGGGAAUCUUCGGCAAUGGACGGAAGUCUGACCGAGCAACGCCGCGUGAGUGAAGAAGGUUUUCGGAUCGUAAAGCUCUGUUGUAAGAGAAGAACGAGUGUGAGAGUGGAAGGUUCACACUGUGACGGUAUCUUACCAGAAAGGGACGGCUAACUACGUGCCAGCAGCCGCGGUAAUACGUAGGUCCCGAGCGUUAUCCGGAUUUAUUGGGCGUAAAGCGAGCGCAGGCGGUUAGAUAAGUCUGAAGUUAAAGGCUGUGGCUUAACCAUAGUACGCUUUGGAAACUGUUUAACUUGAGUGCAAGAGGGGAGAGUGGAAUUCCAUGUGUAGCGGUGAAAUGCGUAGAUAUAUGGAGGAACACCGGUGGCGAAAGCGGCUCUCUGGCUUGUAACUGACGCUGAGGCUCGAAAGCGUGGGGAGCAAACAGGAUUAGAUACCCUGGUAGUCCACGCCGUAAACGAUGAGUGCUAGGUGUUAGACCCUUUCCGGGGUUUAGUGCCGUAGCUAACGCAUUAAGCACUCCGCCUGGGGAGUACGACCGCAAGGUUG
This 550-nucleotide ribosomal RNA is filed under the name uncultured bacterium. Its description in RNAcentral is "bacterial SSU rRNA". It matches the Rfam family "Bacterial small subunit ribosomal RNA", at positions 355 to 896 of the family's 1533-position model. The record is from RNAcentral.